Molecule: ribosomal RNA, 253 nt
Filed under: uncultured bacterium
Lineage: Bacteria
Description: partial 16S ribosomal RNA
Rfam family: Bacterial small subunit ribosomal RNA
Source: RNAcentral
UACGGGGGGGGCAAGCGUUGUUCGGAAUUACUGGGCGUAAAGGGCUCGUAGGCGGCCAACUAAGUCAGACGUGAAAUCCCGAGGCUCAACCUCGGGCCUGCAGUGGGUACGGGCAGACUAGAGUGUGGUAGGGGAGACUGGAAUUCCUGGUGUAGCGGUGGAAUGCGCAGAUAUCAGGAGGAACACCAAUGGCGAAGGCAGGUCUCUGGGCCACAACUGACGCUGAGGAGCGAAAGCCAGGGGAGCAAACGGG